This 403-nucleotide ribosomal RNA is filed under the name uncultured bacterium. RNAcentral's name for it is "partial 16S ribosomal RNA". It matches the Rfam family "Bacterial small subunit ribosomal RNA", at positions 30 to 527 of the family's 1533-position model. The record is from RNAcentral.
AUUGAACGCUGGCGGCAGGCCUAACACAUGCAAGUCGAGCGAGCGGCGGACGGGAGAGUAAUGUAUGGGGACUGCCCGAUAGCAGGGGAUAACUACUGGAAACGGUGGCUAAUACCGCAUACUAUCGGAUAACCCAUUUGUGAUGAGAUAGUAGGUAAGGUAAUGGCUUACCUAGGCGACGAUCCCUAGCUGGUCUGAGAGGAGGAUCAGCCAAACUGGGACUGAGACACGGCCCAGACUCCGACGGAGGCAGCAGUGGGGAAUAUUGCACGAUGGGCGCAAGCCUGAUGCAGCCAUGCCGCGUGUAUGAAGAAGGCCCUAGGGUUGUAAAGUACUUUCAGUCGGGAGGCGUUACCGACAGAAGAAGCACCGGCUAACUCCGUGCCAGCAGCCGCGGUAAUUG